Long non-coding RNA from Nerophis ophidion (straightnose pipefish), 291 nucleotides. RefSeq lists it as uncharacterized. The record is from RefSeq and is a predicted model, not a curated record. The transcript is spliced from 2 exons. Lineage: Eukaryota; Metazoa; Chordata; Actinopteri; Syngnathiformes; Syngnathidae.
CAUGCCCUACAUGGUCAAAAUCAGGGAAAAUUACAAUUCCCAGAAUGCCAAGGUAAAAUUUCCACCAAAUUACUGAUUGAAGGCACCUGAAAAGGAAGGAGGUUCAGUCACUCUUUCACCAAACUACCCCCAUGGAAAGAAGAACAGCAAGCAGCCACAACCGCAAGAUCCACUCAACAAGUUUCUCCAAACACACCAAUAGUUUACAACCUGCUGAUGAUUUUGAAAAUCAACUGAAAUUAUACCAACAAAGCUUUAAGUUGGAAAAAAUAAAAGUUGAUCAAUUGGAAA